UUAACUAUUUUAUAAGACACUUCUAUUUUAAAUUAAAAGUUAUGGCACAUGCUGGACUAAACUACACCAAUUGUUGAGAGUGAAACUUAUUUCAGGGAAUAUAUGUUUUCCAAUUCUAUUAAAGUUUUAAAAAAGAUUGCAAAUUAUUCACAAAGUUUCACCGAUUCUGAAAUUUGUUCAAUAAGCCCUGUGAAAGCUAAACAGUGGUAAGAAAAACAAUUUUAAAGGACAAAAGUUCUACUAUAUCUUUAUUCCAGCUAACAUAAGAUUAGGAGUUAACUGAAUUUAGGAUAUAGUUUCCAAUAAGGGCAAAACAUCUGUACUCUGCUGAGCUGCUGCGGGUGGAAGGGUGAGUAGCCUUAGCAAACCAAGCAGUUGUAACUUAUGUCAUAUCUUAAAUCAUUUAUAUGUUAAACAGAGAAAACAAACACUGCAAACCUAUUAAGAGUAUGAGUUUGGCUGUGGAAAAAUAAGCAUUCAAUUGUUUUAAAAAAAACCAUAAAGCAGAGAUAGCAUAAAACAAGCCAAAUUAAGUCAAAACAAGCGAUGUUUUAAGACAUAACAUACAUGCAUGAAUUUCAUUAAAGAUGAUAUUAUAGUUAAAACACCACAGGGUAUACUUAAAGUGACAUGAAAAAAUAAAAAUAACUGAGAGGGUGGUCAAACCUCAAAACAAGUGCUAUAACCACCACCCAAAAAUGCAAAAUAAAAAAAGCACAAACACACACAAAGAGAAACACACCGCUUGAAGCGGGCAGCUCCGGCUCGGCGUGCGCGGAGAAGCUCGUAGACCACGCGGAGCCAAGUUGCCACCGCGAUCGCACCCAUGGUGCAGGAGGCGGCCCGGGCGGCUGGAAACCCAGAGCGCGGGGCUCCAGCCCCACGCCCUACGCCCCGCGCCCCGGCCUCACGGCAGGAAGCUCGGCGCGGCGGCGCUGCUUCUCCCUAAGAGCUCGGGCCGCGGCCGGAGCGAUAAGGUGGAUCUGCGCUUCCCACCCUGCCAACUCCGCCCUCCCGGACACAUUCCUGAGAAGCCCGACUCCCGGGACGCCGAGCUGGGCGCCCCGGCAGGCAAGAGCUGGACGCCCA
This 1089-nucleotide long non-coding RNA is filed under the name Capra hircus (goat). RNAcentral describes it as "lncRNA (ENSCHIG00010027820.1)". The record is from RNAcentral. Lineage: Eukaryota; Metazoa; Chordata; Mammalia; Artiodactyla; Bovidae.